CAGUCUAAUAAGGAUGCUGUUAUAUGGACUCCAAUCUCUAUGAUGACCACCCAUGUCUUUGUCAACUUCAUGCUAAAAGUCAAUGAUUGCUGGAGCUCUGGAAAUAGCAGGUGAGAUUGCAGGCCGGAGUCCCGUCGCUGUCCAGGGAACCAAAGUCAACCUCCCCUACUCCUGAGACCACAGUGUGACUGAGAGCCUAGACUACAUGGCUACUUGGAACAUGAACAUGUUGCAGACACAGGAUCUUAUGAAGUCAGCGCAGGCAGCCCUGGAAAAGAAGAGUCCGAAAGACGUGCCCUUCUCCAAGCUUUAAAGGAGAAGAUCCAGGGCUGUUGAAGCUGCGGUGGAACUGAGACAUCAUCAUCCACAUAUCUUCAGUUCUUCUUGCUAAGUCUGUUUCUUUUUAGUCUU
This is a long non-coding RNA of Ictalurus punctatus (channel catfish), 411 nucleotides long. NCBI's taxonomy places the organism in Eukaryota, Metazoa, Chordata, Actinopteri, Siluriformes, Ictaluridae. The record is from Ensembl.